RNAcentral lists this long non-coding RNA (325 nucleotides) under Malus domestica (apple). RNAcentral's name for it is "long non-coding RNA (MDOM_LNC001766)". The record is from RNAcentral. Lineage: Eukaryota; Viridiplantae; Streptophyta; Magnoliopsida; Rosales; Rosaceae.
AGAAUACUCUAUGAUAUGAUUUAGAAUCUCUGGUCAGAGUAUGAAUGAGAUUUCGGAAGUCGUUUCAAAUCACAUUCAAGGUAAUCAUAUAAGACCACGAAUCACAUUGGAUAGUAGACAUGAAUAAAUAAACUAUCAAACCAAAUAAUGUGGUCAAGAGUAUUGUAUUAGAGAAAGACCGUAUUGCAUUUGUAAUCCUAAACUGAAUAGGUUCUCCACCUCUUCUAAUUAGCUUAGGUAACCAUGAUAUGCUGUUAGGUGUCACUCAUGGUUUGUGGAAGCCCUAAACGUGUGUAAUCACUAAAGGGAGAAUUGAAAGUAAGUU